CCCUUAGAUGUUCUGGGCUGCACGCGCGCUACACUGACGAGAGCAACGAGUGAACCUGGCUCGGAAGAGUUGGGCAAUCUUUUGAAAUCUCGUCGUGAUGGGGAUAGAUCUUUGUAAUUAUCGAUCUUGAACGAGGAAUUCCUAGUAAGCGCAUUUCAUCAAAAUGCGUUGAUUACGUCCCUGCCCUUUGUACACACCGCCCGUCGCUACUACCGAUUGAAUGGUUUAGUGAGGCCUCGGGAUUGAAGCACGGACACUGGCAACAGUGACCGAGCGUCGAGAACUUGGUCAAACUUGAUCAUUUAGAGGAAGUAAAANUCGUANCA
This 326-nucleotide ribosomal RNA is filed under the name uncultured eukaryote. Its description in RNAcentral is "partial 18S ribosomal RNA". It matches the Rfam family "Eukaryotic small subunit ribosomal RNA", at positions 1470 to 1796 of the family's 1831-position model. The record is from RNAcentral.